AUAGAUCAUAAAUGCUGGAAUGCUUUAUGAUUGAAAGGUUUCGACCGCCUUAGGAUGGAUCUGCGGCCUAUCAGGUUGUAGUGGGUGUAAUGUACCUACUAGCCUACGACGGGUACGGGUUGUGGAAGCAAGAGCCCGGAGAUGGAUUCUGAGACAUGAAUCCAGGCCCUACGGGGCGCAGCAGGCGCGAAAACUUUACAAUGCGGGAAACCGUGAUAAGGGAACACUGAGUGCUAGCAUUUAUGUUAGCUGUCCACAUGUGUAAAUAGCAUGUGAUAGCAAGGGCUGGGCAAGACCGGUGCCAGCCGCCGCGGUAACACCGGCAGCCCGAGUGGUGAUCACUAUUAUUGGGUCUAAAGGGUCCGUAGCCGGUUUAAUCAGUCUUCUGGGAAAUCUAAUCGCUUAACUAUUAGGCUUCCAGGGGAUACUGUUAGACUUGGGACCGGGAGA
Molecule: ribosomal RNA, 450 nt
Filed under: uncultured archaeon
Lineage: Archaea
Description: bacterial SSU rRNA
Rfam family: Archaeal small subunit ribosomal RNA
Source: RNAcentral